RNAcentral lists this ribosomal RNA (497 nucleotides) under uncultured bacterium. RNAcentral describes it as "partial 16S ribosomal RNA". It matches the Rfam family "Bacterial small subunit ribosomal RNA", at positions 28 to 507 of the family's 1533-position model. The record is from RNAcentral.
GAUGAACGCUGGCGGCGUGCCUAAUACAUGCAAGUCGAGCGAACAGACGAGGAGCUUGCUCCUCUGACGUUAGCGGCGGACGGGUGAGUAACACGUGGAUAACCUACCUAUAAGACGGGGAUAACUUCGGGAAACCGGAGCUAAUACCGGAUAAUAUAUUGAACCGCAGGGUUCAAUAGUGAAAGACGGUUUUGCUGUCACUUAUAGAUGGAUCCGCGCCGCAUUAGCUAGUUGGUAAGGUAACGGCUUAUCAAGGCAACGAUGCGUAGCCGACCUGAGAGGGUGGUCGGCCACCCUGGAACUGGGACACGGUCCAGGCUCCUACGGGAGGCAGCAGUAGGGAAUCGUCCGCAGUGGGCGAGAGCUUGACGGAGCAACGCCGCGUGAGUGGUGAAGGUCUUCGGAUCGUAAAGCUCUGUUAUUAGGGAAGAACAAAUGUGUAAGUAACUAUGCACGUCUUGACGGUACCUAAUCAGAAAGCCACGGCUAACUACGUG